UAUGACGCAAUAUCGAGAAGUUUCGUUUUUUGUUUAAAUCUGAGCAUGCGUGGGUAUUUGUUGAUUCUGAUUCUCAGAACGAACUAGACAACCGGUGUGUAUAUUCCACGAUCGCUAUGACAUAUUUGAGUAGUAAUCAUAAGUGAUUAAACUAGAAACAUUUAAUAUAUUUUUCUGAUUCGUCAUUGCCCUUGGUGUCCCAUUAAAAUCAAUAGUUUCGUUAUUUUGGUCUACUAUAUACAUCUGGAGUAUACAAAUACAUAAUUGCAAGGAUGUCUUACUACGGCUCUUCUGAAGCCGCUCUUGGCAACACAUUUGAUGCUUCA
Parasteatoda tepidariorum (common house spider) is the source of this 326-nucleotide non-coding RNA. The record is from RefSeq and is a predicted model, not a curated record. Lineage: Eukaryota; Metazoa; Arthropoda; Arachnida; Araneae; Theridiidae.